GAGCACGUAGGUGGGUUUGUAAGUCAGAUGUGAAAGCCUUCUGUUCAACGGAAGAAUUGCAUCUGAAACUGCGAGUCUUGAGUGUAGGAGGGGAGAAUGGAACUUCUGGUGGAGCGGUGAAAUGCGUAGAUAUCAGAAGGAACGCCGGCAACGAAAGCGAUUCUCUGGCCUAUUACUGACACUCAGUGUGCGAAAGCUAGGGGAGCAAACGGGAUUAGAUACCCCGGUAGUCCUGGCCGUAAACGAUGGGCACUAAGUAGAGGGGUUUU
Molecule: ribosomal RNA, 269 nt
Filed under: uncultured Planctomycetales bacterium
Lineage: Bacteria; Pseudomonadati; Planctomycetota; Planctomycetia; Planctomycetales
Description: partial 16S ribosomal RNA
Rfam family: Bacterial small subunit ribosomal RNA
Source: RNAcentral